Etheostoma spectabile (orangethroat darter) is the source of this 101-nucleotide long non-coding RNA. RefSeq lists it as uncharacterized. The transcript has 3 exons. NCBI's taxonomy places the organism in Eukaryota, Metazoa, Chordata, Actinopteri, Perciformes, Percidae. The record is from RefSeq and is a predicted model, not a curated record.
GCUCUGCCGAUCUGUUUAGCAAUAUUUCAUGGUAAGCCAAUCAGAGGUAGAGUUGGGCGGGCGUUCGAAAGCACGCAUAGUCGAACACACAACAAACAACA